Molecule: long non-coding RNA, 719 nt
Organism: Lotus japonicus
Lineage: Eukaryota; Viridiplantae; Streptophyta; Magnoliopsida; Fabales; Fabaceae
Exons: 2
Source: RefSeq, a predicted model, not a curated record
UCGGUUUAGUGACGAUGGUCCUGGCUGUACAGUACCAGCGGAUUUAAUUGAUGUGUUUCCUUUCAAUUCCGAGUGUGAUCGUGAUAUUACUAAAAAGGACUGAGGUUUUUGAUUAGUUUCAGUUCUGAGUAAGUUCUUAAGUGAUGGGGUCAAGGGUUUUGACUUGGGUUGGGCUUGAAAGAAAACAAACCCUAGCCCAAGAGAGGGGACGCAGGCUAUGAAGGGUCUUGGGAGGGAAAGGGUUUCUUUUCACACUAUUCUGAAGAAAGAAACCUUGAACACUUCUGAAACACGUAAAACAGAGGAGAAAGAGUGAGAGAAACUUUCCCCUUGCACCCUAGCCGUCACCGUCCCAAGCCCUACCACCGUCGACGUGUUCGCGCAAGAGAGAGGAGGAGUUUGCGAGCGAGAGGGAGAGAGGAAGGGUUACGCGUGGGAGAAGAGGAGAGAAACCAGAACCUUGCUCUUCAAUUUCAUCUUUUCUUCAAGCCUAAGGACAAAGAUGGUCGUGAAGAUAAUGGCGAUGACACAUUCUUGGGAGUUGAUGCUACGUGACGUGCCAAUACCGGAGGACGACUACACUUUAGAGGAAGAGGAAGAGGCUAAGGAAUAGGGUUUGGGUUGAGAGUCUUUUGUUUUCUGUUGGGGUUGAGAGUUUCCGAAGUGUUGGUAUCGAACAAUUUUAUUGCUUAAAUUCGAAUGAACAAGUUUUGAUGUAA